Long non-coding RNA from Gadus chalcogrammus (walleye pollock), 1653 nucleotides. RefSeq lists it as uncharacterized. Lineage: Eukaryota; Metazoa; Chordata; Actinopteri; Gadiformes; Gadidae. The record is from RefSeq and is a predicted model, not a curated record. The transcript has 3 exons.
GAGGGAACGCAGGCGAGGAGGCAGGACCACGCCACGGAUAAGGAUUGUGUGACUAUGGCCUCCCCUGCCUUCCUGCUGUCUCUCUUUGAUGGGGGCACUAGGGGGCGCCGCUGUGCCAUUGAAGCAGACCUCAAGAUGAAGAAAUGACUACUUGCAUUCGUUGGUCCCUGGACUGAAUUACAUUUUGAUUUUCAUCCAUUUAGUUGCAUCGGUUUUCCAUAUCAGCACAAAACAGGGUUUGAUGAAAACUGUUACUGUUGUGAAAGGCUAAUUGAGCUCAUGAAAAGCAUUUCUACUUUAACAGUUAGGGCACACAAAGGUCACAACCUACUUAUACAACACUAACCACAGCCCACCUUCACCUUUAUGUAGACUUACAGUAAUAUUCUCCUGCAGUGACUUGACUAACAAAGAAAAAUGAGGUGAUUACUAAUGCCCGAAUGCCAAAGAUAAUUUCAGUUAAUUAUCUGGGAACACUUUUACACUUCUAGUUUGGUAAAGAAUAAGUCAAUGUUUUUAUCAAUGUGUGUUGUGCGCAUGUGGGUCUGAUACUGUUUGAUUCUAUCACUAAUGCACAAAAUAUUUUCGUGAUUGACAAGUUAACCCGAAUACAUUUCAUAAAAAAGGCGCAUCACAGCACUGAAGUCUGAUAUGUGGAGUAAGUGAGUAUUAUGGGAUGUUAAAAAAGAUGAUUAACAACAUUAAUUCUUACUAAAGACUGCCUAACUACCUUGCAGCUGUGAUACCACUUAUAGUACUACUACUACUACAACUGCAAAUACUGACUAAUACUAGUGUUAUACAAGACCGUGUUUUCAUGUUCUACCUAGAUAGAUUUACGGGCUGAAACUCUGCUUGUGUAUGUGUGUGUCUGUGUGUGUGUGUGCAGCCAGUAUACCAAUAUUAUCAACAGAUAACUGGAUUCUUAAGAUGAACCUCUCCCCUAGUGGCAGUGCUGCCGCGUUGGUUCCAUCAACAGACAACCAAGACGCCGCGUUUAAUCUUAGAAGCAGAGAAAAACAUGAUAUAUCGCCCAUUUCUAACCAUACUGUCCUAUGCUUCUUCCAUUUCCGUUUAUAAACAUGUAUGUUUUGACUAUUGCAUUUGUGGUCUUCAUCUGAUUGUAUUGUUACCGUGACAGUACAUAAUAUACUGAAAAUAAGUAUUUCCAUUGUUUAUGUUUUAUUAUGACUGCCAGGCUGUUGGUUUAGACUCCCAGGGGGGCGAAAUAACUACCAGGGGGUCGAAAACAAGAAAUAUAGCAGUCUGCAGCCCGUAAAACACUGGGCUUGGCCUGAUGGUUUUGACCCCUGUGUUGGAAGGACAUACCACCAUCUUAGUAUAGGAUGGUGGUUUGUUUAUAUGUUUUUCCUUGAGCAACUGUGUGAUUGCCAGCUGUAACAUGGUAUUAUUGUAUUACCUUCCCAGUGCGACUAAAAUUGUGUUUGAGUCCUCACAUGCACAAACAAUGUUCUAACUUUAAUCAAAGUUAAACCAUGUCCAUAAAGCGUGUGUGCAAUUAUAAAUAAAAUACAAAUACAGUGAAAUUGACAAUAACAUCUAGAUCCCCUGUGUUUAUGUGUAUUUUUGACUGUGUAUAGUUUUGCUACAUGUGUGACUGUUGUGUAAUGAUUUAUAAUGUAAUAAACUCAU